UCUCGUACCAGCACGCUUUCAAAUUCCGCGGUCCGUCCGCGGACUUGGCGACUUUGCGUAUAAUUGCGCAUAAUAAUUCGUGCAAUAAAUUCAACAGUCGGCUCUUAUAUUUACACGAGUCGUUCGCACUAUCCAGAGUUGCCUGUUGUACUCCGCGAUUAUGCGAUAGUGGAAUGAGCGUAUAACGUCUCGUGGCAAUACCAGAGAAAUAUUUUAAUCGAUUGUCGUCCUUUUUCUAUCUUCUCGUGUAACCGAUGAUAAGGGAAUUGUAACAUGUUUGUUGGAAAAUAAACGCAAAGCUAUUUGUCUAUUGAUACGCUUUAUACCGUACUAUGCUUAAUUAUUAAUUAAUUAAAUAGAAAGUGUUUAGUGAUAAGCUAAAAGAAAAAUUGUGAUUAGAUCAGCUGUCAUCAAUAUGCUGGUUUCCUCGUCACCAUACGUCUCAGCGACCAAAAAAUCGAGCUUAUGACCUUGUCUGCCGAGUUCUCCCGCAUUCACCUAUCGUAAUCAAGCCACUCAAUCGAGAGUGAUGGCGCCGGAUAUCCGAACACCCGGACGCUCGUAUUCUCCAUCCCCUGGACGUCGUUUCGAACCGGUGAUGUAUCCAAGGGUGAAUGUCUCCGCAUUGACACCUCUGCCGAACAAAACGUGGAUCGC
Long non-coding RNA from Vespa mandarinia (Asian giant hornet), 657 nucleotides. NCBI's taxonomy places the organism in Eukaryota, Metazoa, Arthropoda, Insecta, Hymenoptera, Vespidae. The record is from RefSeq and is a predicted model, not a curated record.